ACCGGGCAGCAGCAUUCUUACAUCUUGUCAAACUCAAUAAGGCUCUUGUUGAUGCUGAGACAACAAUCAAACUAAACCCUCAGUGGGAGAAGGGACACUUCAGGAAAGAUUGUGUUUUGGAGGCAAUGGAGAGACAUGAAGAUGCUAUCAUUUCAUUUCAAAAAGCCUUGAAGUUUAAUCCAAAGAGCUUAGAAGUAUCCAAGAAGAUCAAGAGGCUCACACAAUUAGCAAUAGAAAAGAAGCAAGCUGAAGAACGCGAGAGUAUCAGG
This is a long non-coding RNA of Asparagus officinalis (garden asparagus), 269 nucleotides long. RefSeq lists it as uncharacterized. Lineage: Eukaryota; Viridiplantae; Streptophyta; Magnoliopsida; Asparagales; Asparagaceae. The transcript is spliced from 3 exons. The record is from RefSeq and is a predicted model, not a curated record.